RNAcentral lists this ribosomal RNA (490 nucleotides) under Neisseria sp. 'ARUP UnID 432'. RNAcentral describes it as "bacterial SSU rRNA". It matches the Rfam family "Bacterial small subunit ribosomal RNA", at positions 27 to 506 of the family's 1533-position model. Lineage: Bacteria; Pseudomonadati; Pseudomonadota; Betaproteobacteria; Neisseriales; Neisseriaceae. The record is from RNAcentral.
GAUUGAACGCUGGCGGCAUGCUUUACACAUGCAAGUCGGACGGCAGCACAGAGAAGCUUGCUUCUUGGGUGGCGAGUGGCGAACGGGUGAGUAAUAUAUCGGAACGUACCGAGCAGUGGGGGAUAACUAAUCGAAAGAUUAGCUAAUACCGCAUAUUUUCUGAGGAAGAAAGCAGGGGACCAUUUGGCCUUGCGCUGUUUGAGCGGCCGAUAUCUGAUUAGCUGGUUGGUGGGGUAAAGGCCUACCAAGGCGACGAUCAGUAGCGGGUCUGAGAGGAUGAUCCGCCACACUGGGACUGAGACACGGCCCAGACUCCUACGGGAGGCAGCAGUGGGGAAUUUUGGACAAUGGGCGCAAGCCUGAUCCAGCCAUGCCGCGUGUCUGAAGAAGGCCUUCGGGUUGUAAAGGACUUUUGUCAGGGAAGAAAAGGAUAGGGUUAAUACCCCUGUCUGAUGACGGUACCUGAAGAAUAAGCACCGGCUAACUACGU